CGUUCCCGGGUCUUGUACACACCGCCCGUCACACCACGAGAGUUUACGACACCCGAAGCCGGUGGGGUAACCGCAAGGAGCCAGCCGUCGAAGGUGGGGUAGAUGAUUGGGGUG
RNAcentral lists this ribosomal RNA (114 nucleotides) under uncultured bacterium. RNAcentral describes it as "partial 16S ribosomal RNA". It matches the Rfam family "Bacterial small subunit ribosomal RNA", at positions 1369 to 1482 of the family's 1533-position model. The record is from RNAcentral.